This 254-nucleotide ribosomal RNA is filed under the name uncultured bacterium. RNAcentral's name for it is "partial 16S ribosomal RNA". It matches the Rfam family "Bacterial small subunit ribosomal RNA", at positions 524 to 776 of the family's 1533-position model. The record is from RNAcentral.
UACGGGGGGGGUAAGCGUUGUUCGGAAUUACUGGGCGUAAAGGGCUCGUAGGCGGCCAACUAAGUCGGACGUGAAAUCCCUCAGCUUAACUGGGGAACUGCGUCCGAUACUGGAUGGCUUGGAUUUGGGAGAGGGAUGCGGAAUUCCAGGUGUAGCGGUGAAAUGACGUAGAUAUCUGGAGGAACACCGGUGGCGAAGGCGGCAUCCUGGACCAAUAUUGACGCUGAGGAGCGAAAGCCAGGGGAGCAAACGGG